UAACAGUAGAUAAAAUAUUGUUAUAUUUCAAAAAAUUUUCAAUUAUUUAGUGUAGUUUUUAUUUUCCUCAUCGUUAUACUUCUAUUCAUAUCAAUGUAGAAUUAACAGGAAAAAAACUUGUGAAUGGCAACUUGGAUAAAGAUAGUUUUUAAAGAAACAGCAAGAUUGUAAAGAUUUUCUCAAAAAGAAAAAGACAAGAUUGUAAAGCUAUUACAAGCAAACGGAAUACUUAUCGUCAGAGAAUCAACACAUCACCGGAGAGUUCACCGGAGAAGCACCGGAAGAAGAAAAAGACAGAAAACCAAAUUUACGAAAAGAAGAAAGGCGUAGCCUUCCCUUUGCCUCUGAUGACUUGCCGUUUGUGUCUCUCCCCUGUUAACCAGAACAGAGAAAGAUAACGGAACCGAGUUAACUCCCGUUAACCGUAGCUCGAAAGGCUUUUUACGCCAUCUUCUUUUUCCGUUUCUUCCUCCAUAUCUUUUGCUCUUCUUUAGAUUAUUGACAAAGAGAGAUAAAACGUUGGUGUUCCUUUUAUUCUUCUGCGUCCAUUGUCACUCCAUUUAUAAUGCUUCAUUUGAUCCCAUAUCCAAACAAUAAACAAUAAUCAAUAAUUAGUUUUAUUUCAACCCAUGGAAUCUUUUUAAAAGUUAUACCUAACUCCAGUAAAAAUUUAAUGAACACUUCAAUAAUGUGCAUGGUUUACUUUUAAAAGAAAUCCA
This 719-nucleotide long non-coding RNA is filed under the name Eutrema salsugineum. RNAcentral's name for it is "long non-coding RNA (ESAL_LNC001078)". Lineage: Eukaryota; Viridiplantae; Streptophyta; Magnoliopsida; Brassicales; Brassicaceae. The record is from RNAcentral.